UGUCUUCGGGGCGGGGUGCAAUUCCCCACCGGCGGUAAUGGAGCAAAGCGCUCUGAGCCCGCGAGCCGAUGGCGAAAGCUGUCAGGCCGAUUCCGGUGCGAUCCCGGAGCCGACGGUCACAGUCCGGAUGAAAGAAG
RNAcentral lists this non-coding RNA (137 nucleotides) under human gut metagenome. Its description in RNAcentral is "FMN riboswitch (RFN element)". It matches the Rfam family "FMN riboswitch aptamer (RFN element)". From Rfam's summary of the family: The RFN element is a highly conserved domain that is found frequently in the 5'-untranslated regions of prokaryotic mRNAs that encode for flavin mononucleotide (FMN) biosynthesis and transport proteins. This element is a metabolite-dependent riboswitch that directly binds FMN in the absence of proteins. In Bacillus subtilis, the riboswitch most likely controls gene expression by causing premature transcription termination within the 5' untranslated region of the ribDEAHT operon and precluding access to the ribosome-binding site of ypaA mRNA. The record is from RNAcentral.